GGGCGUUAAGUUGCAGGGUAUAGACCCGAAACCCGGUGAUCUAGCCAUGGGCAGGUUGAAGGUUGGGUAACACUAACUGGAGGACCGAACCGACUAAUGUUGAAAAAUUAGCGGAUGACUUGUGGCUGGGGGUGAAAGGCCAAUCAAACCGGGAGAUAGCUGGUUCUCCCCGAAAGCUAUUUAGGUAGCGCCUCGUGAAUUCAUCUCCGGGGGUAGAGCACUGUUUCGGCAAGGGGGUCAUCCCGACUUACCAACCCGAUGCAAACUGCGAAUACCGGAGAAUGUUAUCACGGGAGACACACGGCGGGUGCUAACGUCCGUCGUGAAGAGGGAAACAACCCAGACCGCCAGCUAAGGU
RNAcentral lists this ribosomal RNA (358 nucleotides) under Escherichia coli. RNAcentral's name for it is "partial 23S ribosomal RNA". It matches the Rfam family "Bacterial large subunit ribosomal RNA", at positions 690 to 1045 of the family's 2925-position model. The record is from RNAcentral. Lineage: Bacteria; Pseudomonadati; Pseudomonadota; Gammaproteobacteria; Enterobacterales; Enterobacteriaceae.